This 1101-nucleotide unclassified non-coding RNA is filed under the name Hevea brasiliensis (rubber tree). The record is from RNAcentral. Lineage: Eukaryota; Viridiplantae; Streptophyta; Magnoliopsida; Malpighiales; Euphorbiaceae.
AUUCAUGGCAUCACUUUUUAUCAGCUCAAAGAUGCAAACAUCCCCCAUUUCUAGUGAAUUUUCCCUUGCAAACGUAGGCCAACCGCCACAAAACUUAGCAACUUUCCACUUUGAAUAUCGUAUCAACUUCACAGGCCACAAUCUAUCAGCAACUUGAAGGGUUAAAUUCACUAUCCUGGCCUUAACAUAUCUCCGGCUGAAGUUAAUUGGUACACACACACUAGAGUACUUGAGCCGAUCUAACCGGACAACAGACUUGAAGAAUGGAUUAUUUGAGAUGAACUUGUUUGCUUCUUCAAGAGCUUGAGAAUUACUUGAACAUGGAGGCCUUUUGCCCUGCCUACCGGUAUUCUUUUUGCUUGCUGUCGAUUGCUUGAGCUUUCCUUCAUAUUCUCUCUUGGAACAAUGUGAACUCUCAACCUUUAUACAAGUAGAUGGAGUGGCUUGAUUGCUAAGAUAUGCAGGUGAACUGGGAAACAACGAAUCCAAUGUUUUAGCAGUUGAAUCAGUUCUGGUUAUUUUGCAAGACUGCUGAUCUAUCGAUAAUGGUGAUUUCUCCCCAACUUUUCUUCGUUGAGACAGAUUAUCCACAAUUUCAACAGAGGCAUCAUCUUCAUUAUUUUCCAUCACAGGCUCAUGAUUUUGAUCCACAGUGCAUACACCUUUACAUGGAUACUCUAUCUCUGAUGCACUCUUGUCAAGUAUGAAUACACAGAAAUGGCCAUGUCCUUCAUAUUUAAAAACUAAAAAGUACCCAUGGUCCACAGAGUGAUGUUUAGCGAAUUCUUGCCAACCCUUCUCCAGCCAAACCUUACCAUCACAUUCCAACAACUCUACUUGCCAUGUAGUACCACUGGGGACCUUAAGGAUGACAGGACUUGGCAAAUCCUUUCCAUGCUUCCUCAUGAACUUUUUGGGAAUCUCAAGUUUUCCCUCCCGGAUAGAAUCAUCAAGAAUUAUCUUGAAGAAAUGGGGUUCUCUCUCCAUAAUCGUGAACGCAAUGGGUAGCUUUCUUUCGAGAGAGUCCAUGCAGAAACAAAAAGAAAACGCACUUCACAUAGUGAGAGAGCUCAUAGGGUCAUAAUUGCAACCUGCAAGCUA